RNAcentral lists this ribosomal RNA (433 nucleotides) under uncultured Paraprevotella sp. RNAcentral's name for it is "partial 16S ribosomal RNA". It matches the Rfam family "Bacterial small subunit ribosomal RNA", at positions 341 to 792 of the family's 1533-position model. Lineage: Bacteria; Pseudomonadati; Bacteroidota; Bacteroidia; Bacteroidales; Prevotellaceae. The record is from RNAcentral.
ACGGGAGGCAGCAGUGGGGGAUAUUGCACAAUGGGGGAAACCCUGAUGCAGCGACGCCGCGUGAGUGAAGAAGUAUUUCGGUAUGUAAAGCUCUAUCAGCAGGGAAGAUAAUGACGGUACCUGACUAAGAAGCCCCGGCUAACUACGUGCCAGCAGCCGCGGUAAUACGGAAGAUGCGAGCGUUAUCCGGAUUUAUUGGGUUUAAAGGGAGCGUAGGCGGGCUGUUGAGUCAGCGGUUAAAUGUCAGUGCCCAACAUUGGCAUGCCGUUGAUACUGGCGGCCUUGAAUGCACACAAGGAAGGUGGAAUUCGUCGUGUAGCGGUGAAAUGCUUAGAUAUGACGAAGAACUCCGAUUGCGAAGGCAGCCUUCUGGGGUGCCAUUGACGCUGAGGCUCGAAAGUGCGGGAAUCAAACAGGAUUAGAUACCCUGGUA